AUUUAUUAUAAUUUUUAAUUUAAAAUUUUAAUUUAUUGUAAUCAAAUUUAAAAAUUUAAUUUAAUUUAUUAAUUAUUGAUAUGUCACUAAUAUUAAAUAAGAAUAACAAUUAAGAUGCUACAUUACUUUUAGGGUCCGUUUGGUUUGAGUUAUGUAAUAUUACAAAGUAUCUCGACAUAUUCAGGUAUUUUGGAUUUUGGCGUGAGAUUACUACUGAUGCUGCAUUAGAGCGUUUGGUUUAAUACAGUAAUGUAAUACUAGAUUACAGUGCUCAUAGCAUUAAUAUGUUUAGUUCAGUUUAUAAAAUUUAAUAAUCCUGACAUAAAAGUAUAAUUUUUUUCAAAAUUGCCCUUAUUGUGGUCAUUUGAAUAUUAUUUUUUACGGAAAUGACGAAUGGAGGGAAGAAGAUUGUGAUGAUUACUUGGGAGGACGACGCAAUAGAAGAUGAUAGGUGUUCGUGCGAGAGAGAGAGAGAGAGAGAGAGAGAGAGAGAGAGAGAGACGUCGAGAGAGAGAGAGAGCGAGAGAAAGCGGCGUGCGAGAGAGAGGGCCGGGGGGAAGGCGAGAGAGAGAUGAAAAUAAUGCUGUUAAUUAGAUUUGGGGUUGUUAGAGGGUAAAAUUGUUAUUUUAUAUAAUAUGUAGUAUUAACGGAUUUCAGUAAUGCAAGAUACACGACCUUCCUCCCGUUAAUAUUUUCGAUGUAAUCCUGCUCGAUUUGUAAUGCUACAUUAACGACUAGAUUACAUAGCGGAUUAACCAAACACAGUUAUCCUGACAGGAUUGCCUGUAAUCCUGCCAGGAUAACUCGAACCAAACGCACUUAUAUUAAUAACUCAUCAAAAUUUAAUUAACUAAAUUAGAUUGCCAGAUUUUAUUAUAACAGUUUAAAAAAUUCAAGUAAAAAAUUA
Molecule: long non-coding RNA, 907 nt
Filed under: Ananas comosus (pineapple)
Lineage: Eukaryota; Viridiplantae; Streptophyta; Magnoliopsida; Poales; Bromeliaceae
Description: long non-coding RNA (ACOM_LNC038071)
Source: RNAcentral